AGUGUUUGAUCAUGGCUCAGGACGAACGCUGGCGGCGUGCCUAACACAUGCAAGUCGAACGAAGCUCAAAGCUCUGAGAUUUCGGUCAAGAAGCCUAGAUGACUUAGUGGCGAACGGGUGAGUAAUGCGUGAGCAACCUGCCUUUCAGAGGGGGACAACAGCUGGAAACGGCUGCUAAUACCGCAUAACACAUUUGGGUGGCAUCACCUGGAUGUCAAAGGAGCAAUCCG
This 230-nucleotide ribosomal RNA is filed under the name uncultured bacterium. Its description in RNAcentral is "partial 16S ribosomal RNA". It matches the Rfam family "Bacterial small subunit ribosomal RNA", at positions 8 to 217 of the family's 1533-position model. The record is from RNAcentral.